GACAGAGGUGCCAAGCGUUAGGCGGAAUCACUGGGCUUAAAGCGUGUGUAGGCGGAAUUGUAAGUACCUUGUGAAAUCCCACGGCUCAACCGUGGAACUGCUCGGUAUACUGCUUUUCUUGAGCCACUUAGGGGCUGUCGGAACAAACGGUGGAGCGGUGAAAUGCGUAGAUAUCGGGAGGAACACCCGCGGUGUAGACGGCCUGCUGGACCACGACUGACGCUGAGGCACGAAAGCGUGGGGAGCAAACAGG
RNAcentral lists this ribosomal RNA (253 nucleotides) under uncultured bacterium. RNAcentral's name for it is "partial 16S ribosomal RNA". It matches the Rfam family "Bacterial small subunit ribosomal RNA", at positions 524 to 776 of the family's 1533-position model. The record is from RNAcentral.